AAUGGGGGAUAACGUAGCGAAAGUUACGCUAAUACCGCAUAUGCCCUGAGGGGGAAAGGUGGGGAUCGUAAGACCUAUCGCUUUCGGAGUGGCCGAUAUCAGAUUAGCUAGUUGGUGGGGUAAAGGCCUACCAAGGCGACGAUCUGUAGCUGGUCUGAGAGGACGACCAGCCACACUGGGACUGAGACACGGCCCAGACUCCUACGGGAGGCAGCAGUGGGGAAUUUUGGACAAUGGGGGCAACCCUGAUCCAGCCAUGCCGCGUGAGUGAAGAAGGCCUUCGGGUUGUAAAGCUCUUUCGGACGGAAAGAAAUCGCCAUUUCUAAUACAAGUGGUGGAUGACGGUACCGUCAUAAGAAGCACCGGCUAACUACGUGCCAGCAGCCGCGGUAAUACGUAGGGUGCGAGCGUUAAUCGGAAUUACUGGGCGUAAAGCGUGCGCAGGCGGUUUUGUAAGACAGGUGUGAAAUCCCCGGGCUUAACCUGGGAACUGCAUUUGUGACUGCAAGGCUAGAGUGUGGCAGAGGGGGGUAGAAUUCCA
RNAcentral lists this ribosomal RNA (541 nucleotides) under uncultured Gallionellaceae bacterium. RNAcentral describes it as "bacterial SSU rRNA". It matches the Rfam family "Bacterial small subunit ribosomal RNA", at positions 135 to 671 of the family's 1533-position model. The record is from RNAcentral. Lineage: Bacteria; Pseudomonadati; Pseudomonadota; Betaproteobacteria; Nitrosomonadales; Gallionellaceae.